Long non-coding RNA from Capsicum annuum, 955 nucleotides. RefSeq lists it as uncharacterized. The record is from RefSeq and is a predicted model, not a curated record. The transcript is spliced from 3 exons. NCBI's taxonomy places the organism in Eukaryota, Viridiplantae, Streptophyta, Magnoliopsida, Solanales, Solanaceae.
CCCUCCACAAUAUUUCACAUAAUACCACCAAAAAACAUUUUUCUCUUUCUUUCUCUCUCAUAAAAGUAUCAGAGCGUUAUUUCUCUCUCUUUCUUUCUCUUUCUUGUAAAAAAUCCUUUUUUCAAAUUGCAUUGAUCUAUUGCGUCUUUAUUAUGUAACCCAUUUGUCAGAUAACACUGAUGCAUCUAUAUAUUGUAUCGAUCUAUUGAAAUUUAGGGGUCAAAUUAUAAUGAAAGUGUCUCAGAUAACUCAUUUCUCUGACUAUCGACAAUCGUUUCGAGGGAAAAUUGAAAUUUGGGGGUGAAAUUAGUAAUUAGGGAAUGAAGAAAUCGAAGCCUGAGGUGAAAGUUGGGGAGCAACUCAAGGGGUCAAUUGAAAAUGUUUUUGUGGGUGGAAUGAACCGCUGGAAGUAAGUAGAAGACAAUCUUUGCUAUACGUCAGAUUGACUGAAUAACUGAUUCAAAUGAUGUGAACAGACAUUCAUCAUUUCUGAACUAGGAGCUAUGGUGGCCAACUUUUCAAAUUUCGUUACAUUUUAAAGAGAAAUAGGCAAAACCCGAGGGACAAGUGCACCUUUUCCAAAUGGGAAGCAACAGUAUGAUGUUAUGGUGGAGAGAUGUGGCCCUUCAAAAACUAGUGGACCAAAGUAAUACAGGACGGGCUCCAGGUGAAGAUGAAGAUAAACCAGACAAGUCAUAAGAUAAGACCUAGUACAAGGUAAGAAGCUAAAGGUCAUAAGGAACUAGUCCGUUCAGUUGCAAAAUGUACUUUAAUGUAAUGAACUAACAUAUAUUCACUUCCUGUGUCUAGCAUCUGUAAAGUCAAAAAAAGAUAAAUAGUGCUCGAUUUGAGUUUUAGUGUAACAUGUACAUGUAUUAUCAUCAUUACUAUAUGAAAGAUAGCGUCUACCACACCUCUGAGGUAGAGGUAGAGACUGUGUAUACUGUACUCUCUU